Molecule: ribosomal RNA, 460 nt
Filed under: uncultured bacterium
Lineage: Bacteria
Description: partial 16S ribosomal RNA
Rfam family: Bacterial small subunit ribosomal RNA
Source: RNAcentral
CCUACGGGAGGCAGCAGUGAGGAAUAUUGGUCAAUGGACGAGAGUCUGAACCAGCCACGUAGCGUGAAGGCUGACUGCCCUCUGGGUUGUAAACUUCUUUUAUAAAGGAAUAAAACGAGGCACGUGUGCCUUUUUGCAUGUACUUUAUGAAUAAGGAUCGGCUAACUCCGUGUCAGCAGCCGCGGUACUACGGAGGAUCCGAGCGUUAUGCGGAUUUAUUGGGUGUAAAGGGAGCGUAGAUGGGUUGUUAUGUCAGUUGUGAAAGUUUGCGGCUCAACCGUAAAAUUGCAAUUGAUACUGGCAGUCUUGAGUACAGUUGAGGUAGGCGGAAUUCGUGGUGUAGCGGUGAAAGGCUUAGAUAUCACGAAGAACCCCGAUUGCGAAGGCAGCUUACUAAACUGUGACUGACAUUGAUGCUCGAAAGUGUGGGUAUCAAACAGGAUUAGAUACCCUAGUAGUC